UUUUUUUUUUUUUUUUGAUGGUUUGAUGUUGAUUGUGCAGUGCAUUAUGUGGGCACUCUGCUUGAUGGAACUCAAUUUGAUUCGAGCCGUGACAGGGGAACUCCAUUCAAGUUGAAGCUUGGCCAAGGUAAAGACUAGCUAAGUUCGGUUGAAGUUCAAGGAUCAAUAGUAAUUUGAAGUUUAAUAUGACAGUUGUUUAGUCUUUUCAUCCCUGCUGACAAUGCAAUUUGCCCUGUUUUAAUCAGGUCUUAGUUUGUCCAGUUUGGAUUAUUGGACAGUACAAGAAGAUAAAAGAACACUCUUACAUUUUAGGCAAUUACCAGCCUGCCAGCAAAUAUGUUGUUAAUAAACAUCUGGAGUAGGUCUAUAAUUGAAAAGGCUUCUAUUUGAUUGUGGCAUUUUGAUUUUUACCUAAUGCAGGACAAGUUAUCAAAGGUUGGGAUGAGGGUAUUAAGACAAUGAAAAAGGGUGAGAAGGCCCUCUUCACCAUCCCUCCUGAGUUGGCCUAUGGGGAGUCUGGAUCACCUCCAACAAUACCUCCUAAUGCCACUCUGCAGUUUGAAGUUGAGUUGCUUUCUUGGACUAGUGUGAAAGAUAUAUGCAAAGAUGGUGGAAUAUUCAAGAAAGUACUUGUUGAAGGAGAGGGUUGGCAGAAUCCUAAAGAUCUUGAUGAAGUUUUUGGUGCGUCAAUCAUCUAUCAUUUCUUUAUAAUUGUUUUCAUGGCUUUCAUUGGAUGACUUGGGUUAUUAAAUUUGCUAAAUGUUCUCCUUCUCUUGCAGUCAAAUAUGAGGCACUGCUUGAGGAUGGAACUCUUAUUUCCAAAUCGGAUGGAGUUGAGUUCACUGUGAAAGAUGGUAAUAUGUUGUCCUCAUUAACCUUCUUCUUUCUCCAGUUUUCCGGGGACGCUUGUAAAAGUUUGAUCUGCUUGCAGGUUUCUUCUGUCCUGCUUUAGCAAAAGCUGUUAAAACAAUGAAGAAGGGUGAAAAAGCUCUCUUAACUGUCAAUUCACAAUGUAAGUUAGCUUUCUGCAUCCUAGAUUGGCUUGCAAUUUGUCCUUUGGGUUGCUGACUGUUGGUUAUUGCAGAUGCGUUUGGAGAGAAGGGAAGGCCUCAAGUUGGUGAUGAAAUUAGUGUUCCACCGAAUGCUUCACUUCAAAUUAAUCUUGAAUUGGUUUCAUGGAAAACUGUGUCCGAUGUUACCAAUGACAAAAAAGUGUUGAAGAAGAUCCUGGAGGAGGGAGAAGGAUAUGAGCGCCCAAAUGAUGGCACAGUUGUGAAAGGUAAACUGCAGAGCAAAAAUGUAAACUCUUUGCAGUGAUCCACCAUUGGAAUUUUCAUUCUAAAUUAUCUUUUAGUGUUUGGCAGUGAAAUUGACUGGAAAGCUGCAGGACGGAACUGUUUUUGUAAAAAAGGGACAUGAUGGAGAAGAAUUUGAGUUCAAGGUAGAUGAAGGUAAUUGGUCAUUCACCUAAUGCAACCUACAACUUAUAAGGCUCUAGCUGCCUUUAAUAUUUCAUACGGUACUAUUUUACUAUUUUUCACUCUUAUCAGCAAACAAUAUGUGGCCAUGUAUUGUAUCCUUUUCUACUUGUUCAGUUGUGUUGAACUUACCUUUUGCUGUCUGUCUGCAGAACAAGUCAUUGAAGGACUUGAUAGAGCUGUAAAAACAAUGAAAAAGGGUGAAAUGGCUCUUGUAAUUGUUCAACCCGAAUAUGCUUUUGGUCCAUCUGAGUCACAACAAGAGCUGGCUGUUGUUCCUGCAGAUUCAACCCUAUACUAUGAGAUUGAGAUGGUCUCCUUUGUCAACGUGAGUGAGCACUUUUCUCUGCACACAAAGAUGUUUGCCUUUCAAGCAUCUGGAUGAGGUUUUGACUAUUGUUACAUUUACUACUUACCAUAGGAGAAGGAAUCUUGGGACAUGAAUGCCCAAGAGAAAAUUGAGGCUGCUGGGAAGAAAAAGGAGGAAGGGAACGUAUGGUUCAAGGCAGGAAAAUAUGCGAGAGCCUCUAAGAGAUAUGAGAAGGUGCUGCACACUUCUGCAAAAAAAUUCAAAUCUCCUGUCCAUGAUUUUUAUUUCAAAUGUCCUUAAAAGGCUUCUUUUAUUGUGCUCAGGGUGUGGGCUUCGUAGAAUAUGACUCAUCUUUCAGCGAUGAGGAGAAGCAACAGGCUAAAUUGCUCAAGAUCAGUUGCAAUUUGAACAAUGCAGCUUGUAAACUGAAACUAAAAGACUAUAAAGAGGCAGUGAAAUUGUGCACAAAGGUCUUGGAUAUUGAUAGCAGGAACGUCAAAGCACUUUAUAGAAGGGCCCAAGCAUACAUCCAACUUGUUGAACUAGAAUUGGCAGAACAGGACAUAAAGAAAGCUCUUGAAAUUGAUCCAGAUAAUAGGUAUGAGUUCCACAGAUCUGUUGUAAUGUAUUAAAAUGAACAUUUUUGUAAAAAAUUCAUUUUCUUUGAUCUAAAUAUGAUUUAUAUACUAUAUGUCAAACUUGAACCAGUAUGUUAUUCUUUCAUGGCAUAUAUAUCUGAGAUUAGCCUAAAAUAUCGGUAGAUACAGAAGGAAGCAAAAUGGCAAGAAAAUACAUGUAGUUAUGAUCAGCUUAAAAGCAUGUUUUAUGUUCUGUGUUUUACUAUUUGUUUCUAAUGCCUUGCAUGAUUGGGAACAUGGAUGGCCAGGGAUGUAAAAAUGGAGUACAAAAUCCUGAAGGACAAAGUGAAGGAAUACAACCGGAAGGAUGCACAGUUCUAUGGUAGUAUAUUUGCCAAGAUGAGUAAACUGGAGCAACAAAAUUCUAGUGUAAGUCAUUGAGUUACUGAUAAGGUUUUCUUUUAAUUCGUCAGAAUGUAAUCUUAUAGUGGUAAACUAAUCAUGUUCUAACUACUUGUUGCUAAUCUAAUGAAUGCGUUGUUGAAAUGCAGAGUGCAGAAAAAAAAGAGGCAAUGCCAAUGGCCAUUGAUAGUAAGGCCUAAAAGUUCAUCUCUAGUAAUAUCUUCUCUUUUGUUCUCUUCUCUAAAAUGUGCAAGCAUCGAGUCUGUACUUAGAUAUAGCAUACCUUGUGUCAUCAUAGAGAGUAAUAAAAAGAGUUGUCUGUCUCUGAGGUGUCGAGUGAGUCCCUUGUACUAGAAAAUUGGUAUAUCAUUCGUGUCGAAGCAUGUUUGAUAUGCUUAAUCAAGUGACCAUGGCAAAUCUCUCUCUCUCUCUCUCUCUCUCUCUCUCCAGCAUAUUCUAUCUUCACAGCACCUCUGAAACUUACCACUUUUGUUUAGUUCACUGAAAAACUAUAAUGACUAUGAAGCAGCAAGAUAAAAAGCACCUAUAACGAUGGUGCUUCAACAUAUGUCAUAUAUUGUAUCCUUCUGUAUAUUGAAAUGCAUGUGUAAAAUGUAUUUGAUUGCCAAUUUCUUCAAUGCCUAUAUUGACUUAAGAUAAAACUUUGUUCCAUAAAGGGGCAGUACAUUUAAGGGCAGUAUCCAGCGUCAGCGCAAAAACAAGGGAUUGCUGGUCUGCUAUGAUAACUGCAGUAAAGGCAGGCCUUAGGAGCAUUUCUACCCGGCUAAAUGCCCCUGUCAAGAGCAAAACAUCAUAACAAGGAGCAUAAUCUCAGGUUUAGCUGAAAUAUCUAGUAAUGCUUGUUUGUAAGGUCAUACAAUUGAAUGCUUUCUGUAAGGCCAUAAGGUUACUGUUGUAAGCUUGAAAACAAUUUCUGUAAAAUAUCAGAUGAAUCUGAAAGGACGAUGUGUAACAAAAUGGGACACUAUGCCUCCCUGCUAAACAGGGAGCAGAAUGACAAGCUCAGACUUGUAGAACUAUGCUUUUAACUGUAAUAAAUACAACCAGUUUUACAAACAUUAUAGAUGUACUAUUAUGGUGCUCAGAGCAAAAAAGUACUUGUACUAUAAGAUUCUAAUCUGUUAAAUCUUCUCUUAUCAGAUAGAUUGCCUCAAUACAACACUAACACAAGAAACUCUGACAGAACAACUGAAGCCUCAAACUGCUAUAGUUUAUCCUAGAACUUUAAGCAGGCAUUGUCUCCAGAAAGUUGUCAUCACCAAACUUCCACAAAAUCCCAAUGCAUAUCCCAAUCCUGUUAAAAAGAAGAGCCAAAAUUUUUCAUGCAUUUUUUCGUUCUUGUCAUCAUCAAUCUGUCCUUUCCCAUUGCUGUUUUGGCCAGUGAGGAUCUGGCAUUUUGUAGGCAAUGGUUCCCCACAAAGUCCAGGAUUACCACCAUAAAUAGAGGGAUCUUGAAAUGUAAGGAACUGGUUGGUUGAUGGAAUUGGUCCAGAUAAGUUGUUAUGAGACAAAUUCAAAAAGUUUAAUGAGGUCAUGUGAGACAUGGCAGGAGGAAUACUACCAGAGAGAGAGUUCCAUGAGAGGUCAAAAGUUUCCAACAGGCCUAAACUGCCAAUCUUUUUCGGUAUCUUCCCUGUGAACUGGUUUCUAGAUAAAUUUAAGGUUCCCAGAGCUAAGAGAUUGCUUACCUCUUCUGGAAUGUCUCCUUGCAAAUGAUUGCUUGAAAGAUCAAUAAUGUUCACAAGCUUAAGUGUUUUUGUGUACGCCAUUUCUCUCCCUUUCACAACCAAUUCUACUUGAGGUAUAAAUGCAUAAGGUACAUCUGGUGGUACUUUGUGGUACAACAUCACAUCAUGGAAGCCACUCAAAUUGCCCAAACAGAUAGGAAGAUGUCCUGAUAGAUCAUUGUCUGCAAAGUCCAAGACAUGUAGCAUCUGAAGACUGCACAACUCCUGAGGUAUGCUGCCUAUGAACUUAUUGUUUCGCAACCUUAGCACUGUGAGUGAGGUUAGCCUUUCUCCAAUCCAUCUUGGUAUUUUCCCGGAAAAUCUAUUGUCUCCAAGAUCAAGCAGACUCAAGUAUGUAGAGUUUAUUGUUGUUCCGAAUGGGAGUUCUCCGGAAAGAUUGUUCCCAUUCAAUUUCAACCAGAGAAUGUAAGUUGGUAAAAACAUUGAACUAGGAAGAUUGCCUGAAAGGUUAUUCAUUGACAGAUCAAUAAUUAAGAGAGCUUGUGAGUUCCCCCAGUUAUCAUGGAUUUCUCCAGAAAAUUUGUUGUUUGACAAAUACAGCUCAGUCAAAUACUUCAUCUUCCCCAUGGAGAAGGGUAUCUCACCAUUCAUAAAGUUACCUGACAGAUUAAGGUAAGUCAUGUAUGGCAUUUGUUCACCAAUGUUCUCCGGGAUCGAUCCUGAUAUCGAAUUGUUGGCCAAACUCAGAUAUGACACAUUGCUCCAUAAAGGAAGAGGGCCUUCGAACCGAUUUGAGCUGAAGUCCACCCAUGCACCCCUUGGAAAUUCCAGUGAUUUCGGGAGCACUCCAGCUAUCCGGUUAUCAGAGAUAUCUAACCUGAUUAUUUGAGGGGUUAAUUCCCAAAACCAAUUCGGUACAGUUUCUGAGAGGCCUACCCCUUGAAGAUAGAGUGUGGACAGUUGCUUUUGAGUCUUCAGCCAAGUUGGGAAUCUAUCACCAAUUUGGUAAUUGGUGAUUCUCAUGAAUUUUAGAUUGAAAGGAGGAAUCCAGUCGUUGCUCACAUUUAAGAAAAGCUGUUUGCUUGAAGAUGAUAGAGCCAGAGUUUCCAAAUUAUUUAGCCUGUGAAAAUGUUUCUGGGAUAGAGAACCUUCUCUGGAAUCCUGAAAGAGAUACAAGUGCUUUAAUCCUGUUAACUCUCCAAUGCUUUCUGAAAUCGAACCAUUUAUCGGAUUGUAACUGAGGUCUAAUACCUCCAAGCUCCUCAAACUUCCUAUUGAUGCCGGAAUAGAGCCUGAGAUCAAGUUGUUUGAAAGGUAAAAGUACCUUAGUUCCUUGAAGAUUUGUAAAUGAUCUGGUAGCUGUCCACUUAGUUCAUUAUAAUGUAAAUAGAGUGCCUCUAAGCUACCAUUGCUGGGAGAUAGGCCAGCAAAUAGUUUGCUUAUAUGGCCUUCAACGUUGUUGUAUGAUAGAUCAAUCUCAGAAAAGGUAGUGAGAUUAGAGAACCACUGAGGUAUGGUGGAGUCUAUGUCAUUGAAGUACAGGUUCAGGACAGACAGGGAAGUGAAAUUCAAAGUGGAUAGAGUUUGGGGAAUGUUGCGAAGCUCACAGGAUUCUAGUCUCAAUUCUGAAAGACAAGGAAGCAUGUUAACAGCUUGAAGCCAGUGAUCAGAUGCCAAACUAAGGUUGACAUAUCCCAUGUUGAGGUGUUUCAAAGAAGAAAGACCUUGGAGCCAGUGCAAAUCAGAAACAAGUGCUCUCAGAUCAUACAAAUCAAGAUACUGCAGGUUUGACAGGUUUCCAAGAUGGGAAGGAACUAGUCCCUCAAAAGAUGCAUAAGAGAGAUUGAGGUAACUCAAUUCCUCAAACGAGCCUAAAAAUUCUGGAAUAAGGCUCCCCUGGAAAUUAUUCAUGCUCAAGUCCAAGUAGUUUAAAUGCUGCAACUUAAGCAAAGAAGGACUAAUCUUACCACCCAAGCACGAAGAAUUUUCAGUGAGGAUAGCAGUUUCACCUUCUUCAUAACACUCCCCAUUUCUAAGGUCAAGCCUUACUACAUUACCUGUUUUGUUGUUGCAGGUUACACCAGGCCAUGCACAGCAGUCUUCACCAGUCCAGGAUGCAAGCCGAUUUGAAGGAUCUAUUAGAGCUUCUUUAAAAGUGAUGAUUGCUUCCCUUUCAACUGGGAUGCAUCCAGUAGUUGCAUGGUAUUGAAGGCUAGUUACCAUAGGCAAUAACGAGAGGACAAGAGAGAGAAUUUGGACCAAAAUGCUUGUCAUCCUUCUUUGCUGGUUAUUGAUGGUUCUACAAAUUUUCUGAAUGCAAACGUGCCAAGAAAAUUUCACCAUCUCAUCUUCAGGUAAAGAGGAAGACUUAAACCUCAAGAAGCACUAAAGUCAUAACAAUAAUUUGAGAGCACAAGAAAAUCUGCUCUAUUAGACCAUAGCAGUGUUUUUUGAAUGCAGUUUUUUGACUUGCAAGAUGACAAAAAAAAAAAAAAAAGGAAUUCAAUUACCCAAUAACUUGGAAAUUGGAAUGCUAAACAAUUUGACCAAGUCAAUAACAGAUGGCAACAUAACAUUCAGAACUUCACAUGGCGGGAAUGCAAAUCCUUAACGCAAAAGAAAGCGCGUACCUCCCUUUUAAACAUUACAGACAUGACGGUAAAUGAAUUGAAUCGAAUCGAGUUUUGACUUAAUUGAGUCAAACUUUGACUCAAUUUUAUCAAACUCAACUUCGAUGAAUUCUCAACAUAAACCUUGUCGUGCACGAACUUAUGUUUAAAAAAAUUUAUUUUUUAAAAAAAUGAAUAAAAUAGUAAUUUUUUCUUAAUAAAUAAUAAAAUAUUAGAAAUAUAUACAUAAUUUCACUAAAUAUAUAUACACACACACAUAAUUGAAUCGAUUCACGAAUUAACAAGUUGAAUUUAUCUAUAUUUGAACUCGACUUAAGCUCAAUGUUGACCGAACUUCAGUCGGAUUUUAACUAAGUCGACUCACAAGUACUCAAAAGCAACUUGAUUCGUUUGCAGCCAAUUUAACCCACUUUCCCUGCCUUGCUUUUGGUUUGAAAAAACAAAAGAACAAAAUUGGGCUUUGGGAUCGUAAUUGCGUGAUGAAACAGAACACUUGGUUCUACUGUGUUAAUUUCCAGCAUAGUUUAGAUUUGAAAUUCAAUUAAUUAUAGUCCCGAAUGCCUGAGUUCAUAAUUUAUGCCAAUAGUCCAAUUUUUACUCUCUAUUUAAUCCAAAGUUCACAAUUAUAAUCCAAUAUAACAAUAGUUCACAAUUUAAUUAUAAUCCAAAGUUGUAUCUCUUAUUUUACUUUCUAUUUACAAUUUUUUCAAUAAUGUAUACUAAUAUCUGUCAAAUGCCCACAACGCGUGAGAUUUGGAUGGGAUAAAUCCUACUUCAACAAACUCGAAGCCAUAUGUUGGAGCCUGACUUUUCUGGAAAUUGUGCACUUUCAUUAGACCUCAAGAAAAUUACUUCAAAGCUGGAGUUAAGAGCAGUAUCAUAUUUCCUUACAUCUGGAAGUCUAAACCACAAAGACAAGAAAAUCGAAGGGGAAAUAGAAAAAUCAUUUCCAAAAGAUGGUUAUUCCUAAUUGCAAUAUUAAUUGCAAUAAUGCACUGUUAUACUAUUAAUAAACCACCCCACUCGAAUAAUUGCAACCCGAACAAUCUCUAGGAUGAUAACCAGAAGUACAUCCUCUGAAAAUUAUGAAUUAUUUAAGCAAACAGGACCAAGAAACAAUAGCCCACAUGAAGAACUAAAUCCUGUCAAGUCUCACUUUUCUUUUUCCUAGAGAAGGGACCUAAAUUGUUAUAUGCCAAAAUGUUGUAUUACAUAACUGGCAUCUAGAAAUAGAUAAAUAUCGUCCACCCCGUCCUUCAACAGCCCUCCAUGCAUUAUAUGUUCCAAAACUCAAAAACGAAUAGCUUCUAACACGCGUGACACGAGAACGUACUGAUUUCUAUAAGCUCAAGAGUUGACAGCUCGUUAGCCGAAAGUAAAAGAUUCAACAAACUAAUACUAGGCCUUUGGCACUAAAUGCCACUUCAUGUGGCAGCCUUAAUUGGCUUUCUUCGAUGAAAUCUCUACUCACAUCGAGACCCCCUCUCCUUCCCCUUAGAUUAUAUUAGAUUAGGUUAUACAAAUUCUAUCGUUGUGACAAAAAAAAAAUACUAGAUUAUUGUGCAUGAGAUUUUGCAGAACCAUGUACCCUCAACAAAAAUUUAACAGCAAAUCGCAACUUCAGUACACAUAGUCUAGGUUCUAGCCAGUAAAUAUCAAAACUUUUCAGUUCAAUAUUUGGUUACAUAUGGCGCACAAGUACUGGAAGAGAAAGCAAGUGAAUGAUGCCAUCAAAAGCGUCUAAAGCUACUACUGCAUCUGAUACAGCAAAGAGCUCAGGAGUAUCAGCAGCUUAGGCAGUACCAGUACUCUUACCCUUCUUCCUCUGGAUCUUCUUCAUAUAAAAUUCCAGUUCCUUUCCUUCCAAGAUAU
Molecule: long non-coding RNA, 8979 nt
Filed under: Coffea arabica (coffee)
Lineage: Eukaryota; Viridiplantae; Streptophyta; Magnoliopsida; Gentianales; Rubiaceae
Description: long non-coding RNA (CARA_LNC005607)
Source: RNAcentral